RNAcentral lists this unclassified non-coding RNA (423 nucleotides) under fungal sp. Its description in RNAcentral is "partial internal transcribed spacer region". The stretch from base 1 to 46 matches the Rfam family "Eukaryotic small subunit ribosomal RNA", at positions 1786 to 1831 of the family's 1831-position model. Lineage: Eukaryota; Fungi. The record is from RNAcentral.
AAGUCGUAACAAGGUUUCCGUAGGUGAACCUGCGGAAGGAUCAUUAACACGUAUCCAACGUUAAAACCCCCCCCGUGAACCUUCAGACGUGCUCUGGUAGCCCACACGGCAUAGCAAUUCCUGGUAAAUCAUUGUCGGAAAUAGAUUUUGAGUCAGGAACUUCUGUCCGGUGAGAUAUACUACAGUUACCAUAGAAGCGCUAGUUCUAUCGGCAUUGUUUCCCUAAGCAGUCAGUGGCGUGAAAGUGGUCAACUGAUUGUGGAAGGAUAACGCUUAACGAUUUCGCAGCCGCUUCACGCGGGCGGAGCUUUGCCAAAGGGUCCCCAUGCCCCCUACACGUGCCGAUUUCUAUUAAAAAGCUCCAUUUUCAAUUAUGGAUGGGGUAAAACCAAACAACUGUUAACAAUGGAUAUCUUGGUUCUC